AAGUCGUAACAAGGUUUCCGUAGGUAUGUAAAACCACAUCCUCUCUAUCUAUUUGAAGAAUUCUUGCUAACGUCCCUCUCAGGUGAACCUGCGGAAGGAUCAUUACCGAGUUAGGGUCUCUCAGGCCCGAUCUCCCAACCCUUGUGUUUAAAUAUACCAUGUUGCUUCGGCGGGCCCGUCUCCGGACCGCUGGGUGGUCUAUGACUGCCUGGCCCGUUUGCCCGUCGAUAGCCCAACCCCAAACUCUUGUUAAAACAUGCUGUCUGAGUAUAAACAAGCAAUUAAAUUAAAACUUUCAACAACGGAUCUCUUGGUUCUG
RNAcentral lists this unclassified non-coding RNA (319 nucleotides) under air metagenome. RNAcentral's name for it is "partial contains small subunit ribosomal RNA, internal transcribed spacer 1, and 5.8S ribosomal RNA". The record is from RNAcentral.